ACCAUCUCUUGACAUCNNCAGGAAGUAAUCAGAAAUAAUUAUGCCUCUCNNGAGGUCAGUAUACAGGUGNNGCAUGGCUGUCGUCAGCUCGUGCUGNGAAGUGUNGGGUUAAGUCCCAUAACGAGCGCAACCCUUAUUGUCUGUUAUCAGCAUGUAAAGAUGGGGACUCAGACAAGACCGCUGGUGAUAUAAACCAGAGGAAGGUGAGGAUGAUGUCAAGUCAUCAUGGCCCUUAUGACCUGGGCUACACACGUGCUACAAUGGCUUGUACAAAGUGAAGCAAAACAGUGAUGUGAAGCAAAACACAGAAAGCAAGUCUCAGUCCGGAUUGAAGUCUGAAACUCGACUUCAUGAAGUUGAAAUCGCUAGUAAUCGUAUAUCAGAAUGGUACGGUGAAUGCGUUCCCGGGCCUUGUACACACCGCCCGUCACACCACCCGAGU
This 442-nucleotide ribosomal RNA is filed under the name uncultured bacterium. RNAcentral's name for it is "bacterial SSU rRNA". It matches the Rfam family "Bacterial small subunit ribosomal RNA", at positions 973 to 1411 of the family's 1533-position model. The record is from RNAcentral.